Molecule: unclassified non-coding RNA, 3484 nt
Filed under: Acromyrmex echinatior (Panamanian leafcutter ant)
Lineage: Eukaryota; Metazoa; Arthropoda; Insecta; Hymenoptera; Formicidae
Description: ankyrin repeat and zinc finger domain-containing protein 1-like, transcript variant X2
Source: RNAcentral
GGACUUGCGCAAGCAUGCGCAAGUUGUAAAGCGAAGACGACGAAACGGUCAGUACGCAUUGUGUAUAUUGUAUCGUUUCUGAACUCCAGCGAAUUCUUGUCCCAUCCACCGAUUUUCUGCCAUUGUUCUUCGAUCUCUUCUCACGAUGGCGAAUGAGACGUGUUCGUCUGGCGAAGUCAUGACUGAAGCUGCGAAAACAGCAAAUCAGCUCUACAAGAUCCACAACCAGGAUGACUUCAGCCGGAUCACCAAGGGAAUUAAAGUUGCACGGUGCAUGCAGUCACCGUCGACUUACGUACCUGAUAGCGAGCAGAUAAUAUGCGAGCUGGUGGUAUCCGAUUCUUUGUGUUGUUCCUAUUGUAAUACUGAAUUUGAGGACAAGGUGCAACAGAGACUCCACUAUAAGCUGGAUUGGCAUCGUUACAAUCUAAAACAACAUCUGAAUGGUUUGAAGUCAAUUAGUGAGGACAAUUUCAAUAAAUUAGCCGGCGAAGGCGACAUGUCUAGCCUGUCUGGUAGCGAGGUAGAGUCCGAGAACGAUGACGAUGCUGGUACUUCGGAGACUGGGGUUUCAUCUAAUGAACAAACCAAGAACGAGUCUUCAAGUAAGACUGGACUUGGCAGGUCCAGAAAGACAUCAGAAAGACGCGGGAAAACAAUCGAGUCAGACAUUUCGGAUACGGAGUACAACGAGGAAAUGACCAAGGAGCGGAAGUUGCAGGUUGUCGCAAGUCGUCACACCAAGGUGUUUUUCGAGAAUGAUGAUGGCAAUAUAUUUAGUAUCUACCGGUGUUUACUGCAUCAUAAAAAGGACAUUCCCGAAAAAGACACUGAGAUGAUCGCUCAGGCACUGGACAGCGGCAGAAAGUCCAAAUGGACGGUCAUCAUGGUCGGUGGUGGACACUUCGCCGCGGCAGUAUUUCAGGAUGGUGAGCCUAUCGUGCACAAGACCUUUCAUUCUUAUACCGUGCGAGCAAAGCAAGGCUUCGCUCAAAAUUCUCGUACAAAUGGUAAUCACGCGAAAAGCGCUGGUGCCAGUUUGCGAAGAUAUAACGAAGCAUCGCUUAUUCAGCAUGUACAAGAGAUAUUGGACUCAUGGUCGAUGCACAUCAACAAUUCAGCAGCUAUUUUAUACCGAGCGGUCGGUCCACACAAUCGUACGGUGCUCUUCGGUGGCAAGAAUCCACCUUUAGAUAAGAACGAUUUUAGAAUAAGACCACUGCCAUUCCCUACUCGAAGAGCAACGUUUAGAGAAGUCAAGAGGGUAUAUGAUAUUUUGAGCACCAUGGAGAUUUAUGGCUCUGCGGCGAAUUUCACGGACUGUUUCCCCAACUCUCCGCGACAGCCCGUACGGAAGAAGGUCUCGAAACCGGAGAUCAUGAGCGAGAUACCUGAAGGAGAAGUUGCUACGGAGUACAAUUCUAAUGCCGGUAAUCUUAGUAGUCCGCAGGAUAACGUUAAGACACCUGCGCAAUCUACUCCAGAGAAGCAACACCGGAAUUCUCGUCCGCACAUAGAUAGGGCGAAACCGAGGAAAAGUCCGAAUCGACCACUGCCAGAUAUAAUUGUUAAAUUAGCUCAAUCGUCCUCUGAAUCCGAAAUGGAUCCAAAUUUUCCAAUAGACGUUCUUUUAACUGAAGAAAAUUUUGAGGUGUCAUUUAGGGCGAAUUUACAACCGUUUCAAGAUACUGUGCCGAGAUACAUGAAAAACAAGAAAGCUCAUAGACAGAAAAAGAAAGUCAAGAAAGACAAUCAGAUGAACAAUGAAGUGCUAUCGGACGCUAAGAUUAAAUUAUGGAUUGCCUGUAAGCGGGGCGAUAAUGAUCUGUUAUCGUCGGUUAUUGAUACCUUGUUAGCCAAAAUUAAGGAGUGCGAAGAGGAACAAAACAAGAAAGACGUCAUAGAUAGUUGCGUUAUGUCUAACAAUAUUCUCGUGAGCACAAAUGACGUGACGAAAUUGGUUAAUGAUACCAAUGAGGAUGGCAAUACAAUGCUGCAUUUGGCGGCACUUGGUGGACAUUGCGAGCAAGUAUGGUUGCUGCUAAAAAUCGGAUCUGACCCUUGCAAUAAGAAUAAAAAACUGCAGACACCAUAUGCUGCUGCAAACGAUAAAAAAACUAGAAAUACGUUUAGAAGAUUUAUGGAAGCUAACCCGGACAAGUUCAAUUAUCAAAAAUCUCAAAUACCUGGGCCGCUCUCUGAUGAGAUAGAACAAGCAGAAACGGAAAAGAAAAGACAGCAGCGUAAGUUGAAACGCUUUAAGGAGAAAGUUAAAAGGAAGGAAUUCGAAUUAAAGAAGCAGGAGGAAAACGAGAAGCAAAAGUUCCUUAAUCUCAGCGAUAAAGAAAAGAGAGCUUUGAUCGUACAGAAUCGGAUGUUGAGUGAAGGAUACACUGUGAUGUCGCGAUGCUUCCAAUGCGCCAUCGAUAUGACUGAUAAGAAAAUUAUUAAGAACGCGAGCAUUUCUUGAUUUUAAUAAACUCAAAGAAACUGGACUGUAAGAAAAUUAUGACAAAGAAUUUUGAUAUGUAAAUAGCGAUGUAAAGAGAUGAAUGAUAAGAUCGAAGGAUUUAAAGAAUUUCUUUCGGGCUACAAUGGAUUAUAUAUUUUGAUCUAUAUAUAAUCGGAUGUACACAGAGGGCACGUUUUUUACAAGUACGACGUAAUCCCAGAGAUUCGACGGUUUUUGCAAGCGAAAAAUAUCUCCGAUGAGAAAUGAAAAGUACGUUGAAGAACAUCAAAUGAUUUCACAGAUUCAACUGUAACGAUCCAACAGUCGACAUCCAGCAGUAUAUUAUAACUCUCCAUUGAUGUAUGUACAAGGUAACUGUCUUUACACUUAGUCCCUACAAGCUUGAUAAAAAUAGUGCACAAAAUACACAUUUUGUGCAGAACGAUCGAACGAUCUUACGCGAUUGUUUGAAAAUUCGAUUGGAACGGACGUGGAUCGAAAACCCGAAAUCUAACUUUGACGAGGAAUGAGAAGAAAAUUUUUCGACAUCGCGAGUCUCUUCGAUCGCCCUAUAUAUAUCUUUCCUGGCUUCUCUUUUGAACAUUCGAGAUAUAUACAAAGCAAAAAUUAUUUCGGAAUCGUGAAAGUUGUGAAGCAUAUAUCUGAGUAUCAUUUAGGCUGAACGCAUGCGGAGUAUCGCGUGUAUUGUGGUCCUCUGUUCGUGCAAAAAUAGGUGUUCUGCAUUCGGUUUUUUACUUCUGGUUCCGAUCCCGUCAGAUGAAACGUCGAGCAGCUCAUUUAAGUACAAAAUAUCUUUGUUCGAGAUCAUCUUUUAUGUUUUCUUUGCAUCAAUCUUCCUUUCUCGUGUCUGCCUUGAUCGCGGUAUACGGUCUGACUUAUACUACUCUUGUUUCACUGAUUUGAAAUGAUAUGCAGUGUACAUCUCUUUUCAGUGUCUAACAUAGCAGUGUAAAUUUAAACUGGAAAAUUUUCGUCGUACCAAAAUUUUGCAACGAUAAUAUUUUGAUUCAA